RNAcentral lists this transfer RNA (72 nucleotides) under Camelus bactrianus (Bactrian camel). It matches the Rfam family "tRNA". From Rfam's summary of the family: Transfer RNA (tRNA) molecules are approximately 80 nucleotides in length. Their secondary structure includes four short double-helical elements and three loops (D, anti-codon, and T loops). RNAcentral also lists the same sequence under 2 other names. The record is from Rfam by way of RNAcentral. Lineage: Eukaryota; Metazoa; Chordata; Mammalia; Artiodactyla; Camelidae.
GAGGAUAUAGCUCAGUGGUAGAGUACAUGCCUUGCAUACAUGAGGUCCUGGGUUCAAUCCCCAGUGCCUCCA